RNAcentral lists this small RNA (306 nucleotides) under Staphylococcus aureus. Its description in RNAcentral is "HMPRFS0000_2071". Lineage: Bacteria; Bacillati; Bacillota; Bacilli; Caryophanales; Staphylococcaceae. The record is from RNAcentral.
GCGUUAUUACAAUUAUAGAAGGAUGAAAAUAGAUGGGAAGUUCAAUUGUUUUAAAGUUACUAAAAGUAACACACUACUAUAGGAAUAAACAGAAUAAGAAAUGGUAUUUACCUUUUGGAUAUGAUGCUGAAGAUAUCGAUUUAAACAAUAUUAGUUUACAUAUUUAUCAAGGAGAAGCAUUAGGUAUAAUUGGUGAACCUGAAUCUUCCAAAGCGUUGGUAGGUCAAUUGUUGGCAGGUGCAAUUAAACCUGAUAAAGGUAAAGUAGUUUGUACUGAAGAUUUGUUCUACGGAUAUAUUGAAGAUC